UAUUCUCAUGUGGAAGCUGUUUUGAGUACAACCCUAGUACAACCCAUUUUCCCAUGACCUUAUGUACUUCGUACAUUACUGCUAGUCCCCAUGAAUAUUGUACA
This 104-nucleotide non-coding RNA is filed under the name Symphalangus syndactylus (siamang). RNAcentral describes it as "Mitochondrial DNA control region secondary structure A". It matches the Rfam family "Mitochondrial DNA control region secondary structure A". Lineage: Eukaryota; Metazoa; Chordata; Mammalia; Primates; Hylobatidae. The record is from Rfam by way of RNAcentral.